RNAcentral lists this ribosomal RNA (1068 nucleotides) under Triticum aestivum (bread wheat). Its description in RNAcentral is "partial small subunit ribosomal RNA". The record is from RNAcentral. Lineage: Eukaryota; Viridiplantae; Streptophyta; Magnoliopsida; Poales; Poaceae.
AUGAUUGUUCAACUGUCUCAUGGUGACGUGUUACUAGCCGUUCAUCCAAACCUACCCUAUGUUUUGACACCGGGUAUAAGGCUUUUAGACUGGGACAAGGGCUGGUAUGGCACACAAAGUUUUUCUGCAGAUGACAAGGUACAGACACUCACAUUUAAUGCUGGGGACGACAACAGAUUUGCCAGUGGGUCUUUGGAGGGCCAAAUAAAGGUUUGGACGCUCGAUUCUUCAGCCCCUGAGUAUUCUUUGCUUGGGCAUUUGAAAGCGGUGACAUUCCUCGAUUUUAUCACACAUGGAGAUCAAACAUAUUUGAUCAGUGGCUCCAAGGAUUGCACUUCCAAGAUAUGGGACUUGCAGAAAAGAGAGUGCAUUUAUACGUUAGACGCUAUGUCUCCAGUUCGUUGUGUCCUUGCCCACCCAUAUCUUCCAGUUAUAAUUACAGGAGCAGAACAUGGCAUCAUUCAUCUAUGGAGCUUCACUGAUUUCAGGCUCAAGAGAACUAUUAACUUUGGUGGUGGUGGACCAGUUGUGGGUCUCGCAUGUUUGAUAGGCUCACAAAGGAUUGUGAUUGGGCAAGAGAAUGCAAUAUCUACCAUGGAAAUCCAUUGCGAUGAAGAGACGCGAUCAGAGCGCAGUCAAGACGAAGCAACGAGUAGUGCAGAUGAAGCAGAGCAUGAAGAAAGAAAGCAACUGACCGUGACGCUUGCGCAGCAAGGGCCGCCAACCAAGUCCCGGAAUCAACGCCGUCGGAACAAUCGACGCGCCCGUAUGAUGCCAGAGCAAGCUGAAGCACAGGCGAGGCCUAGUCAACCCGAGGCAGAGCGAGCUGAAGCACAGGCGAGGCCCAGUGAACCCGAGGAACGCGGAGCUGGAGCACAGGCGAGGCCUAGUCAACCCGAGGAACACGGAGCUGGAGCACAGGCGAGGCCUAGUCAACCCGAGGCAAAGCGCGGUGAUACAGAGGAGGCGACUGCAACGCGAGAGCAGCAAAAGUUGCCUCCCAUGUGGAAAACGCCGAGGGCACAGCACCGCCGGGAGAAGCGACACUCCCAUUCACUGGCCAAGUGA